UUUUUUUUUUUUUUUUUUUGUCUCCUUGUUUUUCUUCCUUUAACAACACAGGGGCCAGAAUAGCUCUUAUGCCAGGUUCUUUCCUUCCCUUUUCUUUUUCUGAGUUUUUGCGUUUUUUUAUUGUUGCUCAGGGCAGCCUCACUAGCCGACAUGAUAGCGUUGAGUAAAGAUAAUACGUUUUUUUUUUUAAUCUGCCAAAGCUGUGACCACCCUUGGAUCGCUAGCAUGCCUAGGUGAAUUUUUGGUUAAAGAAGUGCAAGCUCAAGAUUAAGGAUAGCAGAGACAUUUGAGCUUGUAAAUAGGAUCAAAGGCUUUUUGCAAUUUGUAGUACCUACAUAAACAUCUACAUAGAGAAGAUUAAACAAGUCUGUUAAAGGUAAAAAGAGAUAUUCACCCCCUGCCCCAGGCCUCCCCCCGCCCCCACUACCCAAGAGAGUUGAUGAUUUUCAAAAGAAGGUUGCUUCAGUUACACAUUAUUAUUAUUAUUUAUGAAUCCAUCUUUGAAGUCCAAUCCCAAAUGGCAUUUCCAUUGAGAAAUGUCAGUCCCACACUGGGCUCUGAGUAAACACGCAGGUACCUGGAUUGGAGUCCACGGAGCAGCUGCAUCCUGGGACCAGUUACUAAGGCUGAAAGGCCGCGCUCGAGACACGCUCAGCAGAGAUGCACACGGGAGGUCCUGCCGGCCCCCGGCCACGCAAAUCCGGCUUCCCCUAGAACUGAGGUAGGACUGUGGUAGUUUUGAGUGCAUGCCAGUAAAUGCCAGAUUUUACCACUCUCGUGGGUAUUGGUGGAAUCUCCUAGCAUGCUGAGGGAUAAAUCUGCUUUGCCAAAAUGAAAGUAAGAAGAAAUAAAGACACUGGCCACAAUUUAAAAGGCCAAUGGGAACAUCCAAUUUUCUUGAUUACAACUCCUUCGGCGAAUUUUGUCAAACGAACAGAACACAGCACAAACAGCAGAAUGAUGAAUGCCCCCCGCGGGAACCAGGCAGAGGGGCAGGUGUCCUUGCCUUGUGGGUUUAGAGUCUAAUACGGUGGCAGAUGUUCCAAAUCCUAGUCAUUGCUCAGAUCCAAAAAGAAAAUUGUAAGCAGCUUCAGAUUAACAAAACGAAACGAAACAAAACAAAAAGAACGCAAACCACCACCACCGCUGAGCAUCUUCUUUCAUGUCAUUUUCUGAUGUGAGAUGUCACGGUGACAAAGCCAGACAGAUCCUCACUCUGGAAAAGAAAGGAAAGAAGUCAGUGGUGACUGUCACAGGGACAGAGCGAUCCUGACUUAGAGGAAGAAACCCCCUGGAGCCACCUUCACGGCCUGUGAAGGCGUGAACACUUCCAAAUGCGAUGCACUUUGGGAAGCCACCAAACCCUCAUUCUGUUUGCCAGAAACAACCUGGAAGGAUAGGCCCCACUCGGCUUCCGGGGGGGGGGGGCUGCUGGCGAGGGGCCGGGGGAGCACGAAGACCACAGGUUGGCACCAAGGGCCGGAAGCGCAUCCGGAAGCUGUGCCAUUGGGGGUUAGCGGGAACACGGGACAUGUGGGGAGUCCACACCCUGCCUCGGAAGCCCUCCCACUGGAUCGUGGAUCCCCUCCCCCGAAUGACCAGGAAGAUGCAAGUACCUGCAGCCACAUGCUUGUCAUCCCACACCCUCCUCAUCUGCGUGGCUGCCUGGGGCAGGGUUAGGUCACUUACUCCCACCAGCCUGGUGGUGACAAGGCCUUAGGACCCCAGCCUGCUCGAACUCCCUCCUGCCUUCCAGGCCCAGGGAUCAAACUUCCUUAACCUGUUCCCGAUUUUCAUCAUUUCCAGCAUGUUUUUACUCCCUAUGUUCCUUCUUUGGCGGACAGACCAACCAAGUUGAGAGACUCCAACAUCUCACAGCAAAUUGCCUUCCUUUUUAAGCUUUUUGGCUUUUUAAUCAAAAUGCCAGGUGGUUCUUUUGCAUGCCCAUCCCCGUGAUGGCAGCCGAUGGGACACCUGCGGGCGCUGCUGGCCACGCCCUGCCCUACGCAGGCAGGUGCUCUUCCCUGGCUGUUGUACUCACAGGACCUGCACUUCCCAACACUGCUCCAGAAUCAUUACAACUCGCCCCCAACCCUCACCCCACUACCCGUUUUACUUUGUUGUGAAGCUAAUUCUUUUCUGUGCACCUUGAGUUCAGGGGGCUGCUCCCAGCAAGAGAGGAUUUCCAGAGCACCAUGCAGCCCAGAAUGAGCGCCUGAGAGCCCUGAUGGCUUCGCAUGCCAGGCCGUGCCCUGGUACUGACUCCGCGGGCUGCAUCCCAUGUGUGGCCAGAAAAACAAAAGGCCUGGACACACGAGCUUCUGUCAACUGCCAACAUACACUGUAAACAUCAUACCUUUUCCUGUUUUCUCAUAAGUCCCCUACAAUGUGGUAUUGCCAUCAUUUAUUAUUUUUAAAAAGCUUUAUGUUGGGGCACCUGGGUGGCUCAAUGGUUGAGCGUCUGCCUUUGACUCGGGUCAUGAUCCAGGAUCCUGGGAUCGAGUCCCAUAUCAGGCUCAUUGCAGGGAGCCUGCUUCUGUCUCUGCCUCUCUCUGUGUGUCUCUCAUGAAUAAACAAAAUCUUAAAAAAAAAAAAAAAAAAAAAA
RNAcentral lists this long non-coding RNA (2605 nucleotides) under Canis lupus familiaris (dog). Its description in RNAcentral is "lncRNA (ENSCAFG00000059223.1)". The record is from RNAcentral. Lineage: Eukaryota; Metazoa; Chordata; Mammalia; Carnivora; Canidae.